UCUCACUUUGAAGCCCAAAGAUGGUCUGGA
RNAcentral lists this non-coding RNA (30 nucleotides) under Mus musculus (house mouse). The record is from RNAcentral. Lineage: Eukaryota; Metazoa; Chordata; Mammalia; Rodentia; Muridae.